Long non-coding RNA from Mauremys mutica (yellowpond turtle), 806 nucleotides. RefSeq lists it as uncharacterized. The transcript is spliced from 3 exons. Lineage: Eukaryota; Metazoa; Chordata; Testudines; Geoemydidae. The record is from RefSeq and is a predicted model, not a curated record.
UGCUCCAGAAAAGGGAAGUGGAGAGGUCCUCCAAGCUGCAUAGAGCAGCUGCGUGGGACACAGCCAAUCAAGGCCCAGCAGGUUCAUAUUAAAAGAGCUGCAGGGCCAGAGUGAGUUCAGUCUGCUGGCAGGGAUUGGGGCAGCAAAAGGUGCUCCUGGCUGGCUGCAGUAGCUAAACCGAGAUUGACCUAACUGGAGAGCUGGGGUCAGAAGACUAGAGGAUGAGUAAAGAGCUUCCAGGGAGGAAGAAGCCCUGGGGGUGCUGCUCCACCCCAGAGCAAGAACCUUCACCCAGAAAAACAAUGCUAGGAGGAGGAAAACAGACAGACUGAAGUAUCGCAUGGAGCCAGCAAGAACUGCUCUAUUCAUUGCAUCUGACCUUUGAAGUGCCUUAUCUUAAGGGAGAAAGAUCUGCCAGACAUCUGUAAGCAUCAUGACACAGAGGGCAAAUUGUGCCUGCCCCCUAGGCAGGUGCACAAGUAAGGAGAAAGGAUCACUGUUUAUCUCCUUAGUCGUAUUAGGAAUAAGGGUGAGCCCACUGAGCUGCCCCUCACACUGUGUCCCAUGGACCCAAAGUCCUAGGCCUGGCCAAGCAUUUGGAACUUUCCAGAAGUGAAAGCCACCCACCCUCAGGUGAGACAGGAAGGGGUGUCCCUGACUUUUCUCCUAUCUAGCUUCUGUUUCCUGCUCCCUGGUCCUUGCGCCUUCCUCCAUUUCCAGGGGCUGCUCCUGUGGAACUUACUCCGGGGCCACUCUUCCUGGGGGCUGUUUCUGUGUCUGGCAGGGGCAGGCCCACAGGUAGACAA